UCCAUCUCCACCCCUGGAAAAGUGGCUCGGUGAGGGCGAGGACAGUAUUUGGUCACUGCUGAGCCCCUGGCCCUCUGCUGGCCCACCGCAGGUCCCAGAAAAUACUAAGUGAUGAAUGAAGCAAAGAUUUUGUGUCCCCUGUGGGGACAAGAGGCAGCGAGGGGAUGUGGUUUGAAGACCCAAAUGGUGGAAUUAAGGAAGCAACAGUAGGGGAACAUGCUUGAAACAGCUUUGUGCCAGACUCGUUUGUUGGGUGUACUUGUGCGAAGAGGAGCCGAGGGCUGGGAGGCAGAGCUGGGUUUGAAUCUCAUGCCAACACUUGCAGCUGUGUGACCUUGAGCAGGUCUCCGAGAGUAGGGGUUUUGUCUAUCUCGUUCAUUUCUGAAUCCCAGGGACCUGGAAGAGGGCCCAGCAUACACUGACUGACUGAAUGGCGGGUAUGUACCUAGUAGGCGCUGUAUAAAUGGAAGCUAUUGUUAUUCCCGUGCAUCUCUGUCUUCUCUGCUUGCAUCUGGUUGGUUGGCCGAGCUCACCUUCAUGCCCGGGGCAGUCCCAGCUCGAAUCACCUGCCAAACUGCAGUAAUGGGGUCACUGUCCUGCCUGGGCUCCUGUGUGCCCUGCCCCAGGCAGGGGAGGCUGUGCACCCUGGAGGCCACCUCAGCAGCCCGCCCUUCCAGGCAGAGGCCAGUGGGUCUGCCUGCUCCACCUCUUCCAGGUAAACAGCCAACGCCAGACACGUGGAGCAUCCCCACAACCCUUGUCAGGGUCAAAGAAAUCCGGACAAGACUAGUAGGGCUACCUGCCAUGGCAGAGGCCCAGGCUCUCAUCCCAGCUCUGCCUCCAAUUUGCUGUGGGUUCUCAGCAUUAUUCACAAUAGCCAAGACGUGGAAGCAACCCAAGUGCCCAGCAACAGAUGAAUGGAUAAAGAAGAUGUGGUAUAUAUAUACAAUGGAAUACUACUCAGCCAUAAAAAAGACAAAAUCAUCCCAUUUGCAACAACAUGGAUGGACCUUGAGGGUAUUAUGCUAAGCAAAAUAAGCCAGACAGAGAAAGACAAAUACCAGAUGAUUUCACUCAUAUGUGGAAUAUAAACAAACACAUGGACAAAGAAAACCAUUCAGUGGUUACCAGGGAAAGGAGG
This 1141-nucleotide long non-coding RNA is filed under the name Equus caballus (horse). RNAcentral describes it as "lncRNA (ENSECAG00000052832.1)". The record is from RNAcentral. Lineage: Eukaryota; Metazoa; Chordata; Mammalia; Perissodactyla; Equidae.